GAUGAACGCUGGCGGCGUGCCUAAUACAUGCAAGUCGAGCGAACGGACGAGAAGCUUGUUUCUCUGAUGUUAGCGGCGGACGGGUGAGUAACACGUGGAUAACCUACAUAUAAGACUGGGAUAACUUCGGGAAACCGUAGCUAAUACCGGAUAAUAUUUUGAACCGCAUGGUUCAAAAGUGAAAGACGGUCUUGCUGUCACUUAUAGAUGGAUCCGCGCUGCAUUAGCUAGUUGGUAAGGUAACGGCUUACCAAGGCAACGAUGCAUAGCCGACCUGAGAGGGUGAUCGGCCACACUGGAACUGAGACACGGUCCAGACUCCUACGGGAGGCAGCAGUAGGGAAUCUUCCGCAAUGGGCGAAAGCCUGACGGAGCAACGCCGCGUGAGUGAUGAAGGUCUUCGGAUCGUAAAACUCUGUUAUUAGGGAAGAACAUAUGUGUAAGUAACUGUGCACAUCUUGACGGUACCUAAUCAGAAAGCCACGGCUAACUACGUG
This 497-nucleotide ribosomal RNA is filed under the name uncultured bacterium. RNAcentral's name for it is "partial 16S ribosomal RNA". It matches the Rfam family "Bacterial small subunit ribosomal RNA", at positions 28 to 507 of the family's 1533-position model. The record is from RNAcentral.